This 253-nucleotide ribosomal RNA is filed under the name uncultured bacterium. RNAcentral describes it as "partial 16S ribosomal RNA". It matches the Rfam family "Bacterial small subunit ribosomal RNA", at positions 524 to 776 of the family's 1533-position model. The record is from RNAcentral.
UACGAAGGGGGCAAGCGUUAAUCGGAAUUACGGGGCGUAAAGCGUGCGUAGACGGCCUUUUAAGUCUGCUGUGAAAGCCCUGGGCUCAACCUGGGAACUGCAGUGGAUACUGAGAGGCUGGAGUGCGGUAGAGGAUGGUGGAAUUCCCGGUGUAGCGGUGAAAUGCGUAGAGAUCGGGAGGAACAUCAGUGGCGAAGGCGGCCAUCUGGACCAGCACUGACGUUGAGGCACGAAAGCGUGGGGAGCAAACAGG